GACAGAGGGUGCAAACGUUGUUCGGAAUCACUGGGCGUAAAGCGCGUGUAGGCGGCCCACUAAGUCUGAUGUGAAAGCCCGGGGCUCACCCCCGGAAGUGCAUUGGAAACUGGUGGACUCGAGUCCCGGAGAGGAGAGUGGAAUUCCUGGUGUAGCGGUGAAAUGCGUAGAUAUCAGGAGGAACACCGGUGGCGAAGGCGGCUCUCUGGACGGUGACUGACGCUGAGACGCGAAAGCGUGGGGAGCAAACAGG
Molecule: ribosomal RNA, 253 nt
Filed under: uncultured bacterium
Lineage: Bacteria
Description: partial 16S ribosomal RNA
Rfam family: Bacterial small subunit ribosomal RNA
Source: RNAcentral